RNAcentral lists this ribosomal RNA (189 nucleotides) under uncultured bacterium. Its description in RNAcentral is "partial 16S ribosomal RNA". It matches the Rfam family "Bacterial small subunit ribosomal RNA", at positions 1304 to 1500 of the family's 1533-position model. The record is from RNAcentral.
UCUGCAACCCGACUCCACGAAGUUGGAUUCGCUAGUAAUCGCGCAUCAGCCAUGGCGCGGUGAAUACGUUCCCGGGCCUUGUACACGCCGCCCGUCAAGCCAUGGGAGCCGGGAGCGCUUGAAGUGCGUCGCCGCGAGGCGCGCCCUAGAGCGAAACUGGUAACUGGGGCUAAGUCGUAACAAGGUACC